GCCUUGGUAGCUCAAUUGGCUAGAGCGUGGGACUUUUACAAUUCUAAAGACUGAUCGAUGAGGUCAAUCUGGAAUCUUCGAAAUCCCAAGGUUGCGGGUUCGACCCCCGCCUGAGGCG
Daldinia sp. FL1419 is the source of this 118-nucleotide non-coding RNA. NCBI's taxonomy places the organism in Eukaryota, Fungi, Ascomycota, Sordariomycetes, Xylariales, Hypoxylaceae. The record is from the annotation of a GenBank genome assembly.